GGGCAUACGCGGGAAUAGCAAGGUCUGCCUUUUAAGCAGAGAGUCGCAGGUUCGAAUCCUGCACGACCCACCA
This 73-nucleotide transfer RNA is filed under the name Desulfovibrionaceae bacterium. RNAcentral's name for it is "tRNA-Ser". It matches the Rfam family "tRNA", at positions 17 to 71 of the family's 71-position model. Rfam says of the family: Transfer RNA (tRNA) molecules are approximately 80 nucleotides in length. Their secondary structure includes four short double-helical elements and three loops (D, anti-codon, and T loops). The record is from RNAcentral. Lineage: Bacteria; Pseudomonadati; Thermodesulfobacteriota; Desulfovibrionia; Desulfovibrionales; Desulfovibrionaceae.